GAAGGGGGCUAGCGUUGUUCGGAAUUACUGGGCGUAAAGCGCGCGCAGGCGGUCCUUCAAGUCAGGGGUGAAAGCCCAGAGCUCAACUCUGGAACUGCCCUUGAGACUGUGGGACUUGGGUACGGGAGAGGUGAGUGGAAUUCCGAGUGUAGAGGUGAAAUUCGUAGAUAUUCGGAAGAACACCAGUGGCGAAGGCGGCUCACUGGCCCGUUACCGACGCUCAGGCGCGACAGCGUGGGGAGCAAACAGGAUUAGAUACCCUGGUAGUCCACGCCGUAAACGAUGGAUGCUAGCCGUUGGUAAGCAUGCUUAUCAGUGGCGCAGCUAACGCAUUAAGCAUCCCGCCUGGGGAGUACGGCCGC
RNAcentral lists this ribosomal RNA (362 nucleotides) under uncultured bacterium. RNAcentral's name for it is "bacterial SSU rRNA". It matches the Rfam family "Bacterial small subunit ribosomal RNA", at positions 527 to 889 of the family's 1533-position model. The record is from RNAcentral.